Molecule: non-coding RNA, 1365 nt
Organism: Macaca mulatta (Rhesus monkey)
Lineage: Eukaryota; Metazoa; Chordata; Mammalia; Primates; Cercopithecidae
Source: RefSeq, a predicted model, not a curated record
GGUGACAGUCGAUGUGAUAACUGAGACGGCCAGCGUGUGACUGACGGGAAGGUUCCUUAGACAGUGUGGAUAUGCUGGACAAAGAGAAGAUUCCCCUCCCAGGUGGGACAGAGCAAGAGGGUGAGAGAUUUCAGCACGCAACUGAGAAUGACACGCAAUUUACAACUUAUGAAUUGCUUAUUUCUGAAAUGUUCCCUUUAAUUUUUGGGGGCCACAACUGACCACAGGUAAGUGAAACCACAGAAAAGAAAACCUCAGAGAAGGAGGAGCUAAUGUAUUUAGUUUUAACAUUAUAUCAAUGACCCAAGUGGGCAACAUGAAAAGUCUUUAUUUUCUGAUACUUGCAUUACUUUCUGGUAAUAAAAUGUCCUUUCAGUAUUUUAGAAGAAUGAGUCACAUUUCGCACAUAGUACUAGACACUUAAUAGAUGUUUGUUGAAACAUUCGUAGAUAAGUGGGUAGAUACACGCUGACAUUUAACGAUGUGCCUUAUAAUUCAGCUUUAAGUGCCAACGUUUAUUAACGGUGAUGCAUAAAUACAAUAGCACAGAUUCUGAUAUAGCCCCCUCACUGAAAAUUUCCCCCUACUUCCAAAACGUAAACCGGGACCAUUUAAGUUUCCGUAUAAGGAUUGAACUGGUAACAACGUAAUAGUGAAGUUGUCUUGGACCAAUUGUUGGAGGACGCCUUUGGUACCUUUAUGGAGAACGGGAAGCCUUUGCGUGUGGCUGACACAAAUGGUUGUCACACGCCAUCUAGUGGCCAUCUGUGAAACUGUGCCUAUGCCGUGGGAAAGGCUUUUGGAACGAGCUUGAUUGCUCCGAAUUUCAGUGCCUAUCGGACAGCCAGGGAACAUUUGUCCAUUUUUAAGGCAUUAAACUGAGAAGAACCACUGAGGAAAGCAUGCCACGGUCUUUCCCAAAAUCCUUGUGUCUUAAGGAACAACCAAGAAGUUAACUAGGGGGAAAAGAUUUCUUUUGGGAUUCAGAAGCCAUCGCUGUGUGCAGAAAUCCAUGACCUGCCCAUGACUUCUACAACCCGGAGGACUUGCCUGACAUUACUGAAAUGCACAGGGGGCAGAUUCUGUGACAGGAAGAGAUUAGGACACAAACAACAGACAGCAGGUGACCACAGGAGGACACAGUGAGAAGCUGGCCAUCUGCAAGCCAAGGAGAGAGGCCUCGGGAGAAACCGAACCUGCCAGCACCUUGAUCUUAGACUUCUAGCCCUCAGAACGAUGAGGAAAUAAAUCUCUGUUGUUCACGCCACCAGUCUGCAGUGUUUUGUUAUGGCCACUCCAGCAAACUAAUACACAUGGCACUGUCCCCGUGUGUCUGUGUAUCUCUUCUAAUAAGUCCCACCUUUG